This 779-nucleotide ribosomal RNA is filed under the name uncultured Roseovarius sp. RNAcentral describes it as "bacterial SSU rRNA". It matches the Rfam family "Bacterial small subunit ribosomal RNA", at positions 38 to 865 of the family's 1533-position model. The record is from RNAcentral. Lineage: Bacteria; Pseudomonadati; Pseudomonadota; Alphaproteobacteria; Rhodobacterales; Roseobacteraceae.
GGCGGCAGGCCUAACACAUGCAAGUCGAACGAGACCUUCGGGUCUAGUGGCGGACGGGUUAGUAACGCGUGGGAACGUGCCUUUCACUACGGAAUAGUCCCGGGAAACUGGGUUUAAUACCGUAUACGCCCUUCGGGGGAAAGAAUUUCGGUGAAAGAUCGGCCCGCGUUAGAUUAGGUAGUUGGUGGGGUAAUGGCCUACCAAGCCUACGAUCUAUAGCUGGUUUUAGAGGAUGAUCAGCAACACUGGGACUGAGACACGGCCCAGACUCCUACGGGAGGCAGCAGUGGGGAAUCUUGGACAAUGGGCGCAAGCCUGAUCCAGCCAUGCCGCGUGAGUGAUGAAGGCCUUAGGGUCGUAAAGCUCUUUCGCCAGGGAUGAUAAUGACAGUACCUGGUAAAGAAACCCCGGCUAACUCCGUGCCAGCAGCCGCGGUAAUACGGAGGGGGUUAGCGUUGUUCGGAAUUACUGGGCGUAAAGCGCACGUAGGCGGAUUGGAAAGUUGGGGGUGAAAUCCCAGGGCUCAACCCUGGAACUGCCUCCAAAACUACCAGUCUAGAGUUCGAGAGAGGUGAGUGGAAUUCCGAGUGUAGAGGUGAAAUUCGUAGAUAUUCGGAGGAACACCAGUGGCGAAGGCGGCUCACUGGCUCGAUACUGACGCUGAGGUGCGAAAGUGUGGGGAGCAAACAGGAUUAGAUACCCUGGUAGUCCACACCGUAAACGAUGAAUGCCAGUCGUCGGAUAGCAUGCUAUUCGGUGACACACCUAACGGAUUAAGC